AUACGGAGGGUGCGAGCGUUAAUCGGAAUUACUGGGCGUAAAGCGCACGUAGGCGGUUUGUUAAGCCAGAUGUGAAAGCCCCGGGCUCAACCUGGGAAUUGCAUUUGGAACUGGCAAGCUAGAGUUUUGAAGAGGGUGGUAGAAUUUCCAGUGUAGCGGUGAAAUGCGUAGAGAUUGGAAGGAAUACCAGUGGCGAAGGCGGCCACCUGGUCAAAAACUGACGCUGAGGAGCGAAAGCGUGGGGAGCAAACAGGAUUAGAUACCCUGGUAGUCAACGCUGUAAACGAUGUCGACUAGCUGUUCGUGUUUUAAAAACGUGAGUAGCGCAGCUAACGCACUAAGUCGACCGCCUGGGGAGUACGGCCGCAAGGUUAAA
RNAcentral lists this ribosomal RNA (376 nucleotides) under uncultured bacterium. Its description in RNAcentral is "bacterial SSU rRNA". It matches the Rfam family "Bacterial small subunit ribosomal RNA", at positions 523 to 898 of the family's 1533-position model. The record is from RNAcentral.